RNAcentral lists this ribosomal RNA (1322 nucleotides) under unidentified marine bacterioplankton. RNAcentral describes it as "bacterial SSU rRNA". It matches the Rfam family "Bacterial small subunit ribosomal RNA", at positions 1 to 1309 of the family's 1533-position model. The record is from RNAcentral.
UUAGAGUUUGAUCAUGGCUCAGGAUGAACGCUGGCGGCGUGCCUAAUACAUGCAAGUCGAGCGAACGGACGAGAAGCUUGCUUCUCUGAUGUUAGCGGCGGACGGGUGAGUAACACGUGGAUAACCUACCUAUAAGACUGGGAUAACUUCGGGAAACCGGAGCUAAUACCGGAUAAUAUUCUGAACCGCAUGGUUCAAAAGUGAAAGACGGUCUUGCUGUCACUUAUAGAUGGAUCCGCGCUGCAUUAGCUAGUUGGUAAGGUAACGGCUUACCAAGGCAACGAUGCAUAGCCGACCUGAGAGGGUGAUCGGCCACACUGGAACUGAGACACGGUCCAGACUCCUACGGGAGGCAGCAGUAGGGAAUCUUCCGCAAUGGGCGAAAGCCUGACGGAGCAACGCCGCGUGAGUGAUGAAGGUCUUCGGAUCGUAAAACUCUGUUAUUAGGGAAGAACAUAUGUGUAAGUAACUGUGCACAUCUUGACGGUACCUAAUCAGAAAGCCACGGCUAACUACGUGCCAGCAGCCGCGGUAAUACGUAGGUGGCAAGCGUUAUCCGGAAUUAUUGGGCGUAAAGCGCGCGUAGGCGGUUUUUUAAGUCUGAUGUGAAAGCCCACGGCUCAACCGUGGAGGGUCAUUGGAAACUGGAAAACUUGAGUGCAGAAGAGGAAAGUGGAAUUCCAUGUGUAGCGGUGAAAUGCGCAGAGAUAUGGAGGAACACCAGUGGCGAAGGCGACUUUCUGGUCUGUAACUGACGCUGAUGUGCGAAAGCGUGGGGAUCAAACAGGAUUAGAUACCCUGGUAGUCCACGCCGUAAACGAUGAGUGCUAAGUGUUAGGGGGUUUCCGCCCCUUAGUGCUGCAGCUAACGCAUUAAGCACUCCGCCUGGGGAGUACGACCGCAAGGUUGAAACUCAAAGGAAUUGACGGGGACCCGCACAAGCGGUGGAGCAUGUGGUUUAAUUCGAAGCAACGCGAAGAACCUUACCAAAUCUUGACAUCCUUUGACAACUCUAGAGAUAGAGCCUUCCCCUUCGGGGGACAAAGUGACAGGUGGUGCAUGGUUGUCGUCAGCUCGUGUCGUGAGAUGUUGGGUUAAGUCCCGCAACGAGCGCAACCCUUAAGCUUAGUUGCCAUCAUUAAGUUGGGCACUCUAAGUUGACUGCCGGUGACAAACCGGAGGAAGGUGGGGAUGACGUCAAAUCAUCAUGCCCCUUAUGAUUUGGGCUACACACGUGCUACAAUGGACAAUACAAAGGGCAGCGAAACCGCGAGGUCAAGCAAAUCCCAUAAAGUUGUUCUCAGUUCGGAUUGUAGUCUGCA